GAUUUCAGUAGUGCAAAAAUCGAGACAGUGAGUACACCAAGCCAUCAGGGGAGCUCCUUCCUGAAUAUUCAUAUUCAACAUAAAAUCUGAGAAAGUUUUAAGGUCUGGUUUGCUGAAUUUAAAGUAUGGUAUCUAUGCCUUGGACACCAAGUAUAAAUAUAAGUAUGCGUUGCUUCCUGAUGAAGGAGGAAUUCUUUUC
This 199-nucleotide long non-coding RNA is filed under the name Ricinus communis (castor bean). Its description in RNAcentral is "long non-coding RNA (RCOM_LNC003122)". Lineage: Eukaryota; Viridiplantae; Streptophyta; Magnoliopsida; Malpighiales; Euphorbiaceae. The record is from RNAcentral.